This 20198-nucleotide long non-coding RNA is filed under the name Zea mays. RNAcentral's name for it is "long non-coding RNA (ZMAY_LNC003951)". The record is from RNAcentral. Lineage: Eukaryota; Viridiplantae; Streptophyta; Magnoliopsida; Poales; Poaceae.
GCCCGCCUCUCCCUUCCCCGCCAGUUUUGAUCAACCCGCACACCUCCCGCUCUCUAGGGUUCCACGGUCCCACCUGUGUCAUCACCUCUCCUAUCCAAUAUACCACCUCAUCGUUGUCUCACACGUUCCUUCCCAACUCCACAGUGUAGCCUCUUCGCGACAUGAUCUAGAUCCAAGUAAUAUAAGUAUUCUUCCAACCCUGCAAUAUCAUCUCCGCCCACACUCCUCCUACAACAAUCUAUUGCUCGUGCCAAAGUGAUAUGUGUGGAUUGGCGUAACUUAGAUCAGCUCUGCUCCAUUUCCUUAGUUCUCAUGGCGUGGCUGGCUGUUGCCUUGUGCAGUUUGUUCAUCGUGGGUCUGGUGAAGGAAGGCAUCAACAUGGAGGAGGAAUACUUGGAGAUCGGCAUAUCAGUUAUUUUACAUUACGAUUAGUUUUAUUUUAUUGAUUUGACAAAGUGCUAGAUCUUAAAAUACACGCAAUCUAGUCUUGGAGAUUUGGUUAAAAAAAGUGGGUGUCUUGGAAUAGAUUUAUUUUCUUCCUUAUGCUUUGGAAUGUCAAGUUGGGAGUAUCAUGUAGUCGUUUGAUGUUACAUAAUUUCUUCAGUUUGGUAUAGGAAAAUAAAAACAUUGUUAAAGCGAUUUUUUUCCUAUGAACUCCAUUUGUUGAUCUUAUGAAUCAACAAAUGAAUUGAAUUAGUCUUGAUGAUAGUAGCAUAUAGUUGUUAUCAUGAUUUAUUUUUAGUAAACAGAGUGUUCUUUUUAGGCAGUCCAUGGGACAUGCUUUAGCUUCUAUCCUCUUCUUUUAUGUGCAACUCGAAGGAGAAGCCCACUCUUGGGUAAGACUCUUGUGCUUAUACGAUAAAGCUCGCGUGCAAUGUGCCUUAGGCUAUUUAGUAUUGUCCUUUCGGCUGCCCUAUAUAGGUAGUUCAACAUGGUUCUUGUGAAAGAAAGGGAUCGACAUGGAGGAGGGAAACCUAGAGAUUGGCAUAGCAGUUCUUUUGCAUGAUGAUUAGUCUUAUUUUAUUGAUCUAACAAAGUGCUAGAUCUUCAAAUACACACAAUACGGUCCUAAAGAUCUGAUUAAAAAAGUGGGAGUCUUGGAAUAUCAUUCAAUUUCUUCCUUAGGAUUCAGAAUGUUGAGUUGGGAGUAUAUAUCACGUGGUCAUUUGAGGUUAUAGACUUUUGUCUAUUUGGUACAGGAAAAUAAAAACAUUGUUAAAGCAGGAUUUUUUUAUGAACUCUAUUUUUUGAUCUUAUGAAUUGACAAAUGAAUUGAAUUCAUGUUCAUCACAUUAUCAUAUAGUUGUUGUCAUGAUUUAUAUUUAGUAAAUAGAGUGUUCUUAUUAGGCGAUCCAUGGGACAGGCUUUAACUUCUAUCCUCUUCUUGUUAGAAUUAUAGGCAUUUUCCAUAUCAUUUUAAUUUCAUAAAUUAACAUUAUGAUGAUGACAUAUAAAAGAUAAUUAAUCAUAUAAAAUCGUGAUACCAAAUAUAUCCAUAACAAUAUGGAUCAUGAGAACAUAAAGCAUAUGAAUCAUAUAAAUAUAAUAAGCAUAUAAACAUGGUACAUGUAUUAUGAUGAAACAACUGAAAAUAAACAGAUAGCAACAUAAAUAGCAUGACUCUAAAAUUAAAACGAACAGAUAUAACAUAUUAUAAUAUGACAGAACAGAUGAGAUAAAUUCAUGACUACAUAUGAAACAACAGAGGUGAAUAUAUGAAACAUAUAUAAUCUGCAGAACGCAAACAGUAAGGAGAUAAAUUGAUCAUACCCUCCCAUGCGCUCUGAGGAUCCAGAUCCUUGUCCAGCUUCUCUUGUCAUGUCGCGCAGGAAGAAGAAGAUGUUUUGGCCAGUCGCGUAGACGCUCCCCAAAAACCUAAUUGUCGAUCCCCCGUGCAAGGUCUCGAACGGCACCAGCUUCGGAGGCAUCUGCCCUCUCGCUUCUCUGUGCGCGCAGAGUUACAAGAUGGAUACACCCACACUUGCGGCUGGACUGUGAUUCUGAAGGGUUCUGCUCUCGUAUCCCAAAUGACAGGGGUUCUCCCCUACUUAACCUUUCGCGGAAGGAAGAUGAAGGAGAAUGGUCGCAUGCGGCACGCCAAGAGACGGGCAGCUAAAGGAUAAGGGUCUCGCAUGUGGCACGCCAAGAGACGGGCAAGAGUUGAAACUCCCGCGGUUAAUGAGUGCUAAAAAUUAACACAACCACACCACACACGCCCGCUCGCUGCCUGCCUGCCUGCCUGCCUCGCCACGCCACGCCACGCCCAGCCCGAGCCUGGCCCGGCUGGCGGCGGCGGCGCGCGCGCGUGUGUGGCACGCCCUUGUACGUUUCUUGACUUCUCAAAUUAAGUGGAAUAAUUCCCACCAUAUAAGUCAAGCCAACGACCCUUGGACUUCCAAUAUGGUACUAUUGGUAUUCUCCACCAUUACACACCAUAGAGUUUAUUGAAUAAAUGGGCCAAGCCCAUAAAAGAUCCAACAAUCCCCACCAAACUCUAGGGUUUGUAAUGAUGAAGUAUCAGGAUCACAAUCCUUUGAUAUACCAGUGUUUCGAUGGAGACUGUUAAGUUGAACAUCCAUCUAGAAUAAGAGUUUCACUCAUUCACAACUGAACAAUGGACUAAGCCUUGAAUUGACAGUUUUGUGCGAAGUGAGAUUCACUCAAAUCCUUUGCUGAUACUAGGCUGCAAAAGGGUAUUCCCGCUAUUUAGAAGCAUAUAAGUCACACUUCAGUGCUUUCAUGAGUAUUUAGGGAGUCUGACUCAUAUAGGUGUAUUCCUCAGAAGAUGUUCUGUAGGACAACAUCUCACCUUUAUAAGACUCUUGGAAUACAUUAAGGUAAAUACCAUCAUGCCUUACAGAUAGGAAAUAUGUGCAUAAGAAAUAAGUUAAGGAAGUGAUCUUUCCUCACAACCUACUCCUAGCUUGUUUCUCCACUCUACUUCACGGGAUCUCCGAUCACAUAGAGCAGGCUACCACUAGAGUAGAUUUCACAUGGGUCUCAUACCCAUUUCUCUCGAUGCACUUUCUAUCACAUUGUGUGACAGACCCUUAGUGAAUUGAUCUGCCAGAUUAUUAGAUGUGUGGACAUAAUCCACCGUUAUAACUCCGGAGUUUUUCAGCUUUCUGACAGAUUUCAAUCUUCUCUUAACAUGCCUUGUAGACUUCAUGUUAUUCCUAGAACUGUUAACCUUUGUAAUCAUCGUUUGGUUGUCACAGUUCAUGGAAAUAGCCGGUAUCAGUUUUUCAACUACCGGUAAAUCCAAUAGGAAAUCACGAAGCCACUCGGCCUCAGCCCCAGCAGUGUCUAAUGUUGUGAGUUCUGCUUCCAUUGUAGACUUCGUUAAGAUAGUCUGCUUGCAAGACUUCCAGGAAACAACGCCACCUCCAAACAGAAACACAUAUCCGCUUGUGGCAUAAAGCUCAUCAGCAUCAGAAAUCCAGUUGGCAUCACAAUAGCCUUCCAACACUUUUGGGUUUCUAGUAUAAUGAAUACCGUAUGUCAUAGUACCUUUCAAAUAUCGCAACACUCUCUCAAGAGCACGCCAGUGAUCAUCUCCUGGUUUUGACACAAACCGACUCAGCUUACUCACAUCAUAUGAGAUGUCCAGCCUUGUUGCACUUGCAAGGUACAUGAGCGAGCCAAUGAUCUAGGAGUAUGUCAAUUGAUCCCUUGCUAUUCUCUGAUUCUUUCUCAAUAGCAUGCUAGGGUCAUAAGGUGUUGGAGCAGGAUCACAGUCACUAAAACCAAAGCGACUCAAUACCUUUUCCACAUAAUGAGAUUGUAACAAAGUUACCCCACCAUCACCUUCUCUAACAAGCUUGAUGUUUAGAAUGACAUCAGCUUCUCCCAAAUCUUUCAUUUCGAAAUUGCUCGAUAGAAGAUUUUUAACUUCCUCAAUCACAUUGAGAUUUGAUCCAAAGAUGAAGAUGUCAUCAACAUAAAGGCACAACAUAACAGACUCACCCCCACCAUACUGAUAAUACACACACGUGUCAGAUUCAUUUACAGCAAAACCAGCAGUUGUAAGAGUAUUAUCAAACUUUUUAUGCCAGUGCUUAGGUGCUUGUUUUAGGCCAUACAAUGAUUUUAUCAACCUGCACACCUUGUUCUCUUGACCAUCUGCAAUGAACCCUUCUGGCUGAUCCAUGUAGAUCUCCUCAUCCAACUCUCCAUUUAGGAAAGUUGUCUUAACAUCCAUCUGAUGAAUGAUAAGACCAUAAGAGGAUGCCACAGCUAUUAAUGUGUGAAUAGUAGUGUCGGGGACCAUAAUUAGGGGUACCCUCAAGGCUCCUAAUUCUCAGCUGGUAACCCCCAUCAGCAUAAAGCUGCUAAGGCCUGAUGGGUGCGAUUAAGUCAGGGAUCAGUCCGUUCGAGCGACUCGAUCACGCCUCGCCCGAGACUAGCCUCGGACAAGGGCAGCCGACCCCGGAGGAUUUCCGUCUCGCCCGAGGCCCCCCUCCGACGGAGAACAUAUUUCCGGCUUGCCCGAGGCCCUGCCUUCGCUAAGAAGCAACCCUGACCAAAUCGUCGCACCGACCGACCAAAUCGCAGGAGCAUUUAAUGCAAAGGUGGCCUGACACCCUUAUCCUGGCAUGCGCCCCCCGGCAGAGCCGAAGUGACCGCCGUCACUUCGCCGCUCCACUGACCGGCCUGACAGAAGGACAGCGCCGCCUGCGCCGCGCCGACUGCAGUGCCACUUGACAGAGUGAGGCUGACAGGCAGUCAGGUCCUGCAGAAGGCACCACAGGAAACUCUGCUCCGCCCGACCCAGGGCUCGGACUCAGGCUCAGCCCCGGAAGAUGGCGAACUCCGCUCCGCCCGACCUAGGGCUCGGACUCGGGCUAAGUCCCGGAAGACGGCGAACUCCGCUCCGCCCGACCCAGGGCUCGGACUCGGACUAAGUCCCGGAAGACGGCGAACUCCGCUCCGCCCGACCCAGGGCUCGGACUCGGGCUAAGUCCCAGAAGACGGCGAACUCCGCUCCGCCCGACCCAGGGCUCGGACUCGAGCUAAGUCCUGGAAGACGGCGAACUCCGCUCCGCCCGACCCAGGGCUCGGACUCGGGCUAAGUCCCGGAAGACGGCGAACUCCGCUCCGCCCGACCCCAGGGCUCGGACUCCGCCCUGGCCUCAGACGACGACCUCCGCCUCGCCCAACCAGGGGCUCGGACUCAGCCUCGGCCACGGAAGACAGACUCGACCUCAGCUUCGGAGGAGCUUCCACCUCGCCCAACCUAGGGCGCAGACCAGCCACGUCAACGGGAGGCGCCAUCAUCACCCUACCCCGAGCUGACUCGGGCCGCAGGAAACAAGACCGGCAUCCCAUCUGGCUAGCUCCGCCGGAUAGGCAAUGAUGGCGUCCUGCAUGCUCUGUGACGACGGCAGCUCUCAGCCCCCUUACGGAAGCAAGAGGACAUCAGCAAGGACCCAACCGCUCCGACAGCUGUCCCUCCGCCAGGCUCCAUCGCUCCUCCGACGGCCACGACAUCACACCAGCUGGGUGCCAAAACCUCUCCGGCUGCCACGACGGCAUGUACUCAGGGCGCUAGCUCUCCCCCGCUAGACACGUAGCACUCUGCUACACUCCCAUUGUACGCCUGGAUCCUCUCCUUACGCCUAUAAAAGGAAGGACCAGGGCCCUCUUAGAGAGGGUUGGCCGCGCGGGGACGAGGACGAGACAGGCGCUCUCUUGGGGCCGCUCGCUUCCCUCUCCCGCGUGGACGCUUGUAACCCCCUACUGCAAGCGCACCCGACCUGGGCGCGGGACGAACACGAAGGUCGCGGGAUUCCCACCUCUCUCACGCCGGUCUCUGGCCGCCUCGCUCCUCCCCCCUUCGCGCUCGCCCUCGCGCUCGACCCAUCUGGGCUGGGGCACGCGGCGACACUCACUCGUCGGCCCAAGGGACCCCCCGGUCUCGGAACGCUGACAGUUGGCGCGCCAGGUAGGGGCCUGCUGCGUGUUGACGAACAGCUUCCCAUCAAGCUCCAGAUGGGCAGUCUCCAGCAACCUCUCCAGCCCGGGAUGGUGCUCCGUUUCGGGAGUCUUGAGUUCAUGUCCUUCGACGGCAGCUAUGACAUGAUACUCCUUCCCCCGCCGUGCGACAACGACAAUGGCGGCCGACAGCCCGCCCGCCGGCGGCGGAAUCGACGACGUCUUCCCCGCGUGGUGGGAGAACAACAUUCGAGCUCACCCCGUCCUCUCCCCCGUCGACGGAGGAGGAGGCGGGGCAACCAAGGCCAAGCAGGAGGCAGCGCCUCAUCGGCUGUCGAGCGAGUCGACAGCGCCAGCACCCCAACGAGGGGCGCACCGGACAUCGACCUCGCGUUUGAGACGAAGACGAGCAUCGUCUCCCCGCGACACGCCGAUCCCGAGCAAGCGGACGACGCCAGCGCGCUCGCGGAGAGCUUGCUGGACGUCACCCUCGUACCUGAGACGACGGCGCAGUCAGUCCCCGACGUGACUUUAUCGCCGCUCGUCGACCAAAAGGUACCGACCGAUUCCCAUCCUACGUCAUUUGGAUUCAGCCUCAACCCGCCUAGCGAUCUCGCUUUGGCGGACGCUCUCGUAGGGGCGAGUCCAAACCCUCUGGGGUUUCGCAUGUGGUCUCCUUGGGGCCGGCUGACGGACGUCUCGACCUACGGGCCCUCUGGGUCCGAGGAAGACGACGAGCCCAGCAUCUGUUGGGAUUUCUCUGUACUUGGCAACCCUAGUGCCAUGCGGGACUUUAUGACCGCAUAUGACUACUGCCUCUCCGGCUGUUCCGACGGUAGCCGCAGCCUCGACGACGAGGACUGCGGCCCAAGCCGCGAAUGUUUCCACGUCGAUCUAGGGGGUCCCUCCGAAGGCAAUCUUCUCGGCAUGCCGGAGGACGGUGAUCCCCUAGGCCGGUGCCCCGCGUUGACAUCCCACGGGAGCUAGCUGUGGUCCCCGUUCCGGCGGGGGGUCACGGCCCACAGCUCGAGCAAAUCCGCGGGGUGCAGGCCAGGCUCGACGAGGGAGCAGGAGCGCUUGAGCCGAUCCGCCGGGACGUCGGGCAGGCAUGGGCGAACCAACCCCCGGCCGGAGAAAUACGUCAUCUGCCCCAGGGUCUCCAGCACUGCGUCACCGAUGACGUCAGGGUCAGGCCACCACCUGCGUCUAGUGGGGUCGACCAGAACCUGGCUGCAGCAGCGAUGCUCCUCCGCGCGAUGCCGGAGCCAUCCACCACCGAGGGUCGGCGAAUCCAGGGGAGCUCAAGAACCUCCUGGAAGGCGCCGCGGUCCGACGGGCCGAGAGCUCUGCCUCCCGAAGGCAGGGAUACCCCUCGGAACCCCAUGCCGCGACUUCCUGAUUCAUGCGGGAAGCCUCGGUCUACACCGGGCGCACGCGCAACACCGCGCCUGCGGCCCCGUGCCGCCUCGGCAACGAGCACCAUCAUCGCGACCGUCGGGCCCACCUCGACGAGAGGGUGCGCUGAGGCUACCACCCCAGGCGUGGGGGACGCUACGACAGUGGGGAGGAUCGGAGUCCCUCGCCCGAGCCGCCCGGUCCGCAGGCCUUCAGCCGGGCCAUCCGACGGGCACCGUUCCCGACCCGGUUCCGGCCCCCGACUACUAUCGCAAAGUACUCGGGGGAGACGAGACCGGAACUGUGGCUCGCGGACUACCGUCUGGCCUGCCAACUGGGUGGAACGGACGACGACAACCUCAUCAUCCGCAACCUCCCCCUGUUCCUCUCCGACACCGCUCGCGCCUGGUUGGAGCACCUGCCUCCGGGGCAGAUCUCCAACUGGGACGACCUAGUCCAAGCUUUCGCCGGCAAUUUCCAGGGCACGUACGUGCGCCCCGGGAAUUCCUGGGACCUCCGAAGCUGCCGGCAGCAGCCGGGAGAGUCCCUCCGGGACUACAUCCGGCGAUUCUCGAAGCAGCGCACCGAGCUGCCCAACAUCACCGACUCGGAUGUCAUCGGCGCGUUCCUCGCCGGCACCACCUGCCGCGACCUGGUGAGCAAGUUGGGUCGCAAGACCCCCACCAGGGCGAGCGAGCUGAUGGACAUCGCCACCAAGUUCGCCUCUGGCCAGGAGGCGGUCGAGGCAAUCUUCCGAAAGGACAAGCAGCCCCAGGGCCACCCAUCGGAAGAUGCUCCCGAGGCGUCUAUUCAGCGCGGCGCCAAGAAGAAAGGCAGGAAGAAAUCGCAAGCGAAACGCGCCGCCGUCGACGCGGACCUUGUCGCUGCCGCCGAGUACAAGAACCCUCGGAAGCCCCCCGGAGGUGCCAACCUCUUCGACAAGAUGCUCAAGGAGCCGUGCCCCUAUCAUCAGGGGCCCGUCAAGCACAUCCUUGAGGAGUGCGUCAUGCUUCGGCACCACUUCCAUAGGGCCGGGCCACCCGCGGAGGGUGGCAGGGCCCGCGACGACGACAAGAAGGAAGAUCACCAAGCGGGAGAGUUCCCCGAGGUCCGCGACUGCUUCAUGAUCUACGGUGGGCAUGCGGCGAAUCCCUCGGCUCGGCAUCGCAAGCAAGAGCGCCGGGAGGUCUGCUCGGUGAAGGUGGCGGCGCCAGUCUACCUAGACUGGUCCGACAAGCCCAUCACCUUCGACCAAGCCGACCACCCCGACCACGUGUCGAGCCCGGGGAAAUACCCGCUCGUCGUCGACCCCGUCAUCGGCGACGUCAGGCUCACCAAGGUCCUUAUGGACGGAGGCACCAGCCUCAACAUCAUCUACGCCGAGACCCUCGGGCUCCUGCGUGUUGAUCUGUCCUCCGUCCGGGCAGGCGCUGCGCCCUUCCAUGGGAUUAUUCCCGGGAAGCGCGUCCAGCCCCUCGGACGACUCGACCUUCCCGUCUGCUUCGGAACGCCCUCCAACUUCCGAAGGGAGACUCUGACGUUCGAGGUGGUCGGGUUUCGAGGAACCUACCACGCGGUACUGGGAAGGCCAUGCUACGCGAAGGUCAUGGUCGUCCCCAACUACACCUACCUGAAGCUCAAGAUGCCGGGCCCCAACGGGGUCAUCACCGUCGGCCCCACGUACAAGCACGCGUUCGAAUGCGACGUGGAGUGCGUUGAGUACGCCGAGGCCCUCGCGAAUCCGAGGCCCUCAUCGCCGACCUGGAAAGCCUCUCCAAAGAGGUGCCAGACGUGAAGCAUCACGCCGGCAACUUCGAGCCAGUGGAGACGGUUAAGGCCGCCCCCCUCGACCUCAGUGGCGACACCUCCAAGCAGAUCCGGAUCGGCUCCGGGCUCGACCCCAAAUAGGAAGCAGUGCUCGUCGACUUUCUCCGCGCCAACGCCGACGUCUUCGCGUGGAGUCCCUCGGACAUGCCUGACAUACCGAGGGAUGUCGCCGAGCACUCGCUGGACAUUCGAGCCGGAGCCCGACCCGUCAAGCAGCCUCUGCGUCGAUUCGACGAGGAGAAGCGCAGAGCGAUAGGCGAGGAAAUCCACAAGCUAAUGGCAGCAGGGUUCAUCAAAGAGGUAUUCCAUCCCGACUGGCUUGCCAACCCUGUGCUUGUGAGAAAGAAAGGGGGGAAAUGGCGGAUGUGUGUAGACUACACUGGUCUCAACAAAGCAUGUCCGAAGGUUCCCUACCCUCUGCCUCGCAUCGAUCAGAUCGUGGAUUCCACUGCUGGGUGCGAGACCCUGUCUUUCCUCGAUGCCUACUCAGGGUAUCAUCAAAUCAGGAUGAAAGAGUCCGACCAGCUCGCGACCUCUUUCAUCACGCCCUUCGGCAUGUACUGCUAUGUCACCAUGCCGUUCGGCUUGAGGAAUGCGGGUGAGACGUACCAGCGGUGCAUGAACCAUGUGUUCGGCGAACACAUUGGCCGCACGGUCGAGGCCUACGUCGAUGACAUCGUAGUCAAGACGAGGAAAGCUUCCGACCUCCUUUCCGACCUUGAAGUGACAUUCUGGUGUCUCAAGGCGAAAGGGGUCAAGCUCAAUCCCGAGAAGUGUGUCUUCGGGGUGCCCCGAGGCAUGCUCUUGGGGUUCAUCGUCUCCGAGCGGGGCAUCGAAGCCAACCCGGAGAAGAUUGCAGCCAUCACCAGCAUGGGGCCCAUCAAGGACUUGAAAGGUGUACAGAGGGUCAUGGGAUGCCUCGCGGCUCUGAGCCGCUUCAUCUCACGCCUCGGCGAAAGAGGUCUGCCUCUAUACCGCCUCUUAAGGAAGGCCGAGUGCUUCACUUGGACCCCUGAGGCCGAGGAAGCUCUCGGGAACUUGAAGGCGCUCCUCACAAAGGCGCCUAUCUUGGUGCCUCCAGCUGCCGGAGAAGCCCUCUUGGUCUACGUCGCCGCGACCACUCAGGUGGUCAGCGCCGCGAUUGUGGUCGAGAGGCAAGAAGAGGGGCAUGCAUUGCCCGUUCAGAGGCCAGUUUACUUCGUCAGCGAGGUACUGUCCGAAACCAAUAUCCGCUACCCACAAGUUCAGAAGCUGCUGUAUGCGGUGAUCCUGACGCGGCAGAAGUUGCGACACUACUUCGAGUCUCAUCCGGUAACUGUGGUGUCAUCCUUCCCCCUGGGGGAGAUCAUCCAGUGCCGAGAGGCCUCGAGCAGGAUUGCAAAGUGGGCGGUGGAAAUCAUGGGCGAGACAAUCUCGUUCGCCCCUCGGAAGGCCAUCAAGUCUCAGGUCUUGGCGGACUUCAUAGCCGAAUGGGUCGAUACCCAGCUACCGACGGCUCCGAUCCAACCGGAACCCUGGACCAUGUUUUUCGACGGGUCGCUGAUGAAGACGGGAGCCGGCGCGGGCCUACUCUUCAUCUCGCCCCUCAAGAAACACCUACACUAUGUGCUACGCCUCCAUUUCCCGGCGUCCAACAAUGUGGCUGAGUAUGAGGCUCUGGUCAAUGGGUUGCGGAUCGCGAUCGAGCUAAGGGUCCGGCGCCUUGACGCCCGCGGUGACUCGCAGCUCGUCAUCGACCAAGUCAUGAAGAACUCCCACUGCCGCGACCCGAAGAUGGAGGCCUACUGUGAUGAGGUUCGGCGCCUGGAAGACAAGUUCUACGGGCUCGAGCUUAACCACAUCGCUCGGCGCUACAACGAGACUGCGGACGAGCUGGCUAAAAUAGCCUCAGGGCGAACAACGGUUCCCCCGGACGUCUUCUCCCGGGAUCUGCAUCAACCCUCCGUCAAGAUCGACAACCCGCCCGGGCCUGAGGCGCCCUCGACCCAGUCCGAGGUACCCUCGGUCCAGCCCGAGGUAUCCUCGGCACAGCCCGAGGCACCCUCAGUUCGGCCCGAGGCGCCUUCAGUUCAGCCCGAGGUACCCUCGGCCUCCGAGGGUGAGGCGCUGCGCAUCGAGGGGGAGCAAAGUGGGGCCACGCCUGAUCGAAACUGGCAGACCCCGUACCUGCAAUAUCUCCAACAAGGAGAGCUACCCCUCGACCGGGUCGAGGCUCGCCGGGUGGCACGGCGUGUCAAGUCAUUCGUCUUGCUGGGCGAUGAGAAGGAGCUCUACCACCACAGCCCCUCAGGCAUCCUCCAGCGAUGCAUCUCCGUCGCCGAAGGUCAGGAACUCCUGCGGGAGAUACACUCGGGGGCUUGCGGCCAUCACGCAGCACCUCGAGCCCUUGUCGGGAAUGCUUUCCGACAAGGAUUCUACUGGCCGACGGCGGUGGCCGACGCCACUAGAAUCGUCCGCACCUGCGAAGGAUGUCAAUUCUAUGCGAAGCAGACCCACCUGCCCGCUCAGGCUCUGCAGACGAUACCCAUCACCUGGCCCUUUGUUGUGUGGGGUCUGGACCUCGUCGGCCCCUUACAGAAGGCGCUCGGGGGCUACACGCACCUGCUGGUCGCCAUCGACAAAUUCUCCAAGUGGAUCGAGGUCUGACCUCUGAACAGCAUCAGGUCCGAGCAGGCGGUGGCGUUCUUCACCAACAUCAUCCAUCACUUCGGGGUCCCGAACUCCAUCAUCACCGACAACGGCACCCAGUUCACCGGUAGAAAGUUCUUGGACUUCUGCGAGGAUCACCACAUCCGGGUGGACUGGGCCGCCGUGGCUCAUCCCAUGUCAAAUGGGCAAGUAGAGCGUGCCAACGGCAUGAUUCUACAAGGGCUCAAGCCUCGGAUUUACAACGACCUCAACAAGUUCGGCAAACGAUGGAUGAAGGAACUCCCCUCGGUGGUCUGGAGCCUGAGGACCACGCCGAGCCGAGCCACGGGUUUCACGCCGUUCUUCCUAGUCUACGGGGCCGAGGUCGUCUUGCCCACAGACCUGGAAUAUGGCUCCCCGAGGACGAGGGCCUACAGCGAUCAAAGCAACCAAGUCAGCCGAGAAGACUCGCUGGACCAGCUGGAAGAGGCUCGGGACAAGGCCUUACUACACUCGGCGCGGUACCAGCAGUCCCUGCGACGCUACCACGCCCGAGGGGUCCGGUCCCGAGACCUCCAGGUAGGCGACCUGGUGCUUCGGCUGCGACAAGACCCCCGAGGGAGGCACAAGCUCACGCCCCCCUGGGAGGGACCGUUCGUCAUCGCCAAGGUUCUGAAGCCCGGAACGUACAAGCUGGCCAACAGCCAAGGCAAGGUCUACGGCAACGCUUGGAACAUCCAACAGCUACGUCGCUUCUACCCUUAAAAUAUUUUCAAGUCGUUCAUAUACCUCGCACCCACGCAAAGUUUAGUCAUCAAGGAAGGGUCGGCCUCGCCUCGGCAAAGCCCGACCCUCCCUCGGGGGCUAAAAGGGGGGCAACCCCCUCUGCGUCGAAAUUUUCCUCGAAAAAAUAUCUCUUCUGCCAGAAUAUCUUUCGUGCUUUUUGACUACUUCGAAAAUUGGAUCCUGAAAACGACGGAGUACAUGUAAGCAGCCAAGGCUGACCGAGCCGAGGGACUCCUACGCCUCCGGGAUACGGAUACCUCACUCAUCACCUUCUACGAUAAGUGACUCGCGUUCCGAUAAGUGAUUCCACAGACCGAACAAGUCUUCACGUUUGGAAGCUCUUCUGCCAAAGCGAUCCUUCGAGCCUUCUCGACUGAGUCGGUGACAGAGCCUCAUGGACGGGUGAAAGUGCGUGUAAGCGGUAAGGCCGACCGAGCCGAGGGACUCCCACGCCUCCGGGAUACGGAUACCUCACUCAUCACCUUCCGUGAGAAGCAACUCUCGCUCGCACAAACAUCCCUGUUGCCGACAAAAAAGUCCAGAUACUUGAAACAAGAGGAAAAGAGACGCGGCUUUACAACGCAGCGAGGGUGUGUGUUCUGGCCUCGGCGGCCGCAGAAGGCACACGCUACAAGACAAUCUGAUCCUGCAGGCUCGGGUCUUGACACUGGAAGGGGGCAGCAGCACCCUCGGCAUCGACGACACCUUCGGCGAGGUCCGACCUAGCCUCGGACGGCAACGCGGUCCAAGGAUCUCCGCUCUAAGGGACGACGCCAUCGCCACGCCCGGGCAAUUGCUGCCUGGGUCUUCUCCGGAAAUCUGGCCCGAGCAGGCGGCUCGGCCGGUCGCUCCGGGGCCUUGGCCAACCAUCUUCCAAGGGCGCCGGCUCGACCCGAGGCCUCGGCUGAUCAACUCCGGCGUCGGUCCCGCCAGCGGACAACCCGGCUAGGCUCCGGCCAACCAGGUUUCAUUUUUGAGCCAACUCUGCCACUGUUCGUGCUGAUAUCGCUACCCCUGGCCUCGGCUUGUCGAGGAGUGGCCAAGGGGUCCAUUUAACUAAGCUAGAGAAGCCUUAGACAACAAGGCCGACCGAGCCGAGGGCCUCCUACGCCUCCGGGAUACGGAUACCUCACUCGUCACCUUGACACGGGGCGACUCACGCUUGGUGAAGCGGUUCAGACAACCAACAGGCAAGUCUUAGUGCUCGAAAAUGAGGAAAAAACACGGCUUCGUGCCAAAAUUACAUACAUGUUCAGGCCUCGACAGCCGCGAUGAACAAAAACAUUGGCAUUCAAAGUGCCAUUACAAAUGGAACUCCGGUUCCCCCUCCGCAGGGACGAACAACCCCACUCCAUGGGGGAGGGCCUGCGGAGCAACGGAAGACUGACGGGCGGCUCGCCGCCGCCCGCUCUGACAGCGACGACAACGACCCCCGCUCCGGGUGGCCGAACUGCAGCGGCGCAGGCCUCGGGGUGGGCGCUGCUGCAAUCUUGCCCUCACCCACGCCGACGCUCGAGGGGCGAGGACAAGUACAAAGAGCCGGAGGCCCGAAGCGCGGAUGGUGGCGGUGACCCCGUCGGCGACGGGGACUUCUCGAGCCGCCUCCACCUUGGCACCGGCGCCAGAAGCCAUCAGCCCUCUGGCAGAUCCCCACUCAAAUCCUCCCGGACGAGUGGGGCACCGAUCCCCGCGCGGAGGUGCCAUACCAGUGCAAAGGCAGGACCACCCCAGAACACGAACGCCGCCCUAGCAGCGUGCGGCGUCUUGGGCGGUCCUUCCGUGCACACGGCGCGGCAGCCGCCUUCCGGCAGGAGGGGCCGCCAGGGGCCAAGCCGACGAGCUCGAUACGCUGGGGGUGACGACGCCCGCCGUCGACCAGCCCCGCGUUGUCGAAGUCCGGGCCGCCCGCAGGGACAGCGAGCGCCCUCUCCCUCGAACGUCGCAGGAGAGGGCGACCCACGAACCCGCGCGGGAGGUAGAGCUCCGGCUCAGCCCGGCCUCCACCCCAGCGAGGAUGAUGAACAUCCUAGAAGCUGAGGGUGGGACCAAGAUCGUAGCCCGGCUUGCUUCUCCCCACCCAGGGGCUGGUGGUCACCGUCUUGGGUGACCGCCGGCGGAGGGGUGCAGCCAGGUUGCAUGAUGAAAAUCCUUGAAGCCGAACGAUGGCUGAAAGGUACCAACUCCCACGGAGUUGCGUUCCUCCAACGAUGGGGCAAAAAGACAGCGGGUAUCCCCCAUCCGGGGGCUUGGAAGGUGGAAAGACACGAUGCAUAAGGGCGCGCGAAGACAUGGUCGCCUUCCAAGGGGGUCACCCUCCUUUUAAAGACGACUAUCCCUACUCGCGUCCUCAGCCGUCACGGGCUGAGUCUUCUCCAACACGCUCCAAGGCCCUCCUCUGCGGCACGGGGGCCGGGUCCCACAUGUCAUGCAAGCCGCCUCAGAGCAGAAGAAGCCAAACCGCCACGCGCGGUACACACGACCGCCCAGCGGUUACAAGUGACCCUCCACUUUUGCCCAGACCAACGGGCGAAAGGAGCGGGCAGCCAUGCGGGCGGCAUGCAACCGCGCUACGUGGGCACGCUUCUCCGACUCCCGACACGCCCAGCAUGGAGGCCCAGGCCCACGCGUCACGCAACCGGCGCGCCGGAUGCUUCAUGCAAGAAACUGCACCGCCACUUGCGCCACCGCCACGCCUCCUCGAUUGCGGAACCAAUACCGCGACUCGAGGCGACCCAGCGCACGACCCAGCAGUGCCAGCCUGGCGCGGCGGUCAAUGCGGUCAAAAAUGGGCCGGCAGUAAUGACGCUGGAAGGCGGGCGGGAGCAGCGGUCACGUCGUCAGCCAAGCUCACGUCCCAUCCGGGGGCAGCAAGAGAACCCCCUCUCAUGGCGUGAACACAACGCGCCCGUGACCCGUUCCUCGAACGGUUCGCGCACGCACAACGGCCGCCCCGCCAACCACUCGCCCCAUCGCAUUAACUCCGCGGCGGGACAGGCGGCGCCUCUGGCAGGAGAAGCGGGCGACGCUUCGCCUUCGCCAUAAUAACGCACCAAAAAAGGUACGCCAUGUCGUUCGAUUUCGUAUCCUUUUCCUUUUUUCCUCUUUCUCUCUCUCUCUUGCAACAGGGACCGGGAAAGGGGGAUACCCCGAAAAGGAUCCUUCCCUGUGAAGGAACCGGGCUCCGAGCCUCCCUACUGAUCAGAGGUUCGAAGGCUGGCCCCCCGAAGGGUUCAACAGCCGCCUCAGAUCGCGUGGGGCCUACACCCACUACUGGUCAGAGGUUCGAAGGCCGGCCCCCCGAAGGGUUCCACGGUCGCCUCAGGCUACUCGGGCUCCGCGCCCAUUACUGAUCAGGGGUUCGAAGGCUGGCCCCCGAAGGAUUCACAGCCGCCUCAUACGCCGAGCGAGGGAUGACCAGGGGUACGUUCUAUACAUAACCAAGGCUCGGGCUGCGCUCCCGAGGUACCCUAGGACAUUUCCGAGACCAGCGGGAGCGAUCUUGUAACGGAAUCCCAUCGGAGGGAGGCAUCGAGCCCUCGGACCCCGUCGCCAGGGGACCGGGUCCAGCAGAUCACCCGCAGGUACUUUUGGGCGUGCCUCUAGGCCCCUAGCCGACCCCUAACGAACGGGGCACGGACGUCCACUCGGAUUACCCGCUUGCAGCUCACCGGAGACACCAUGUUCGGCGCCCAUCGAGGGCAACAUGGCGCUUUCCCCCCCUCCUCCUUGCGAAAAGGCGACGCAGGGGCGUAUGUAAAAAAGCCGAGUCUGUCCCUGAUCGCCCUCUCGCCCUGUGCAGAGGCUCGGGGGCUGCUCUCGCAAACCUGGCUCCGGCCGAACCGUUGACAGCGUCAACAUACCAGCCCGAGAACUUGGGACCCGACCGUACACCCGGGCUACGGCCAGCUCGCAUGAGGGAACAACCAGACUAGCCGAAGCAUUACACGAGGCAUUAAGACCUCGAAGGAGUGAAACCACUCCUCCGAGGCCUCGGGGGCUACACCCGGCGGGUGCGCUCGCGCGCACCCACCGGAACAAAAUGCAACCGAGAAAGGCUGGUCCCCUUGCAAAAAAGUGCGACGAAAGCCUCCAAGCGAGUGCUAACACUCCCUUCGAGGAUCGGGGGCUACUGUCGGGGACCAUAAUUAGGGGUACCCUCAAGGCUCCUAAUUCUCAGCUGGUAACCCCCAUCAGCAUAAAGCUGCUAAGGCCUGAUGGGUGCGAUUAAGUCAGGGAUCAGUCCGUUCGAGCGACUCGAUCACGCCUCGCCCGAGCCUAGCCUCGGACAAGGGCAGCCGACCCCGGAGGAUUUUCGUCUCGCCCGAGGCCCCCCUCCGACGGAGAACAUAUUUCCGGCUUGCCCGAGGCCCUGCCUUCGCUAAGAAGCAACCCUGACCAAAUCGCCGCACCGACCGACCAAAUCGCAGGAGCAUUUAAUGCAAAGGUGGCCUGACAGGCAGUUAGGUCCUGCAGAAGGCACCACAGGAAACUCCGCUCCGCCCGACCCAGGGCUCAGACUCGGGCUAAGUCCCGGAAGACGGCGAACUCCGCUCCGCCCGACCCAGGGCUCGGACUCGGGCUAAGUCUCGGAAGACGGCGAACUCUGCUCCGCCCGACCCAGGGCUCGGACUCAGGCUAAGUCCCGGAAGACGGAGAACUCCGCUCCGCCCGACCCAGGGCUCGGACUCGGGCUAAGUCCCGGAAGACGGCGAACUCCGCUCCGCCCGACCCAGGGCUCGGACUCGGGCUAAGUCCCAGAAGACGGCGAACUCCGCUCCGCCCGACCCAGGGCUCGGACUCGGGCUAAGUCCCGGAAGACGGCGAACUCCGCUCCGCCCGACCCAGGGCUCGGACUCGGGCUAAGUCCCGGAAGACGGCGAACUCCGCUCCACCCGACCCCAGGGCUCGGACUCCGCCCUGGCCUCAGACGACGACCUCCGCCUCGCCCGACCAGGGGCUCGGCCUCGGCCACGGAAGACAGACUCGACCUCAGCAUCGGAGGAGCUUCCACCUCGCCCAACCUAGGGCGCAGACCAGCCACGUCAACGGGAGGCGCCAUCAUCACCCUACCCCGAGCUGACUCGGGCCGCAGGAAACAAGACCGGCGUCCCAUCUGGCUAGCUCCGCCGGAUAGGCAAUGAUGGCGUCCCGCAUGCUCUGUGACGACGACGACUCUCAGCCCCCUUACAGAAGCAAGAGGACGUCAGCAAGGACCCAACCGCUCCGACAGCUGUCCCUCCGCCAGGCUCCAUCGCUCCUCCGACGGCCACGACAUCACACCAGCUGGGUGCCAAAACCUCUCCGGCUGCCACGACGGCAUGUACUCAGGGCGCUAGCUCUCCCCCGCUAGACACGUAGCACUCUGCUACACUCCCAUUGUACGCCUGGAUCCUCUCCUUACGCCUAUAAAAGGAAGGACCAGGGCCCUCUUAGAGAGGGUUGGCCGCGCGAGGACGAGGACGAGACAGGCGCUCUCUUGGGGCCGCUCGCUUCCCUCUCCCGCGUGGACGCUUGUAACCCCCUACUGCAAGCGCACCUGACCUGGGCGCGGGACGAACACGAAGGCCGCGGGAUUCCCACCUCUCUCACGCCGGUCUCCGGCCGCCUCGCUCCUCCCCCCUUCGCGCUCGCCCUCGCGCUCGACCCAUCUAGGCUGGGGCACGCGGCGACACUCACUCGUCGGCCCAAGGGACCCCCCGGUCUCGGAACGCCGACAAGUAGUCAAUCGAGCCACUGGUGAGUAGGUAUCAAAGAAAUCUUCACCCUCCUUUUGGGUAUAUCCUUUGGCCACAAGUCUUGUCUUGUACCUCUCGAUUGUACCACAGCUAUUAUGUUUUUGGAUUGUUAGAAUUAUAGGCAUUUUCCAUAUUAUUUUAAUUCCAUAAAUUAACAUUAUGAUGAUGGCAUAUAAAAGAUAAUUAGAAAUCGUGAUACCAAAUAUAUCCAUAACAAUAUGGAUCAUGUGAACAUAAAGCAUAUGAAUCAUAUAAAUAUAAUAAGCAUAUAAACAUGGUACAUGUAUUAUGAUGAAACAACUGAAAAUAAACAGAUAGCAAUAUAAACAGCAUGACUGUAAAAUUAAAACGAACAGAUAUAACAUAUUAUAAUAUGACAGAACAGAUGAGAUAAAUUCAUGACUACAUAUGAAACAGUAGAGAUGAAUAUAUGAAACAUAUAUAAUCUGCAGAACGCAAAACAGUAAGGAGAUAAAUUGAUCAUACCCUCCCAUGCGCUCUGAGGAUCUAGAUCCUUGUCCAGCUUCUCUUGUCAGGUCGCGCAGGAAGAAGAAGAUGUUUUGGGCAGUCACGUAGACGCUCCCCAAAAACCUAAUUGUCGAUCCCCCGUGCAAGGUCUCGAACGGCACCGGCUUCAGAGGCACCUGCCCUCUCGCUUCUCUAUGCGCGCAGAAUUACGAGAUGGAUACACCCACACUUGCGGCUGGACCGUGAUUCUGAAGGAUUCUGCUCUCGUGUCCCAAAUGACAGGGGUUCUCCCCUACUUAACCUUUCGCGGAAGGAAGCUGAAGGAGAAGGGUCGCAUGCGGCACACCAAGAGAUGGGCAGCUAGACAGGUUCCCGUGGUUAAUGAGUGCUAAAAAUUAACACAACCACACCACGUCUGCUCGCCUGUCUACCUCGCCCGAGCCCGGCCGGCGGCGACGGCGCGCGCGUGUGGCACGCCCUUGUACGUUUCUUGACUUCCCAAAUUAAGUGGAAUAAUUCCCACCAUAUAAGUCAAGCCAAUGACCCUUGGACUUCCAAUAUGGUACUAUUGGUAUUCUCCACCAUUACACACCAUAAAGUUUAUUGAAUAAAUAGGCCAAGCCCAUAAAAGAUCCAACACUUCUUUCCUACGCAGUUCCAAGGAGAAGCCCACUCUUGGGUAAGACUCUUGUGCUUAUACAAUAAAGCUCACACGCAGUGUGCCUUAGGUUGUUUAGUAUUGUCCUUUCAGCUGUUGAUGUGUUGCUUAGUCAUAUUGAUGCAUUACUGUUACUGGCAUCAUAGCAUGGAUAUGUAGUGAUAAUUUGCACUUUGAGGAGAUAAACACUUUGCUUAUAAAUAUGAUCCUGAGCUUUGACGCAAGAUAUUGGAUCAUUAGCUAGAUUGUAGCUUGGUUGCAUUACCAAUGCUUUUAAUUAGGACUAGGAAUUUGGUUACCCGAAAAAAUUGGGUCGUGUAAUUCAGUUGAAUAAAAAUUCGGGUAUUAAAAAUUGCUACUCGAUUCUUGUCCUAAAAAUUACCCGAAAUUUUGGGUACCCGAUAAUUCGGGUUUGGUUCUUGUUUUACACGACAACCGAUAUACUCAAAAUUGAUAAAACCAUCCAUUUUUAGUAGCAUUUAAAGCAUUAAACAAUAAUUCUUCAAAUCACGUCGUGUGUUUAUCUUAAUUAAGAACAAACCAAUUAUUAAGUUAGCAUAAAUAUAUAUUAAUUUGUUUCAAAAAUAUAUUUAUUGCACUAAACUACUUCUUGUCUUUAUAUUUCAGGUAAUAUUUGAGACAUUUCGGCUAAUUCGGGUAGUUCAUGUAAUGGGUAACAUUACCUGAACUACCCAAACCAAAUCUGGGUUUCUAGAAUUGCUAUCCAAAAUUAUGAUCGGGUAAUUCGGGUUCAGGUAGUUUGGAUC